Molecule: ribosomal RNA, 211 nt
Filed under: Paracoccaceae bacterium
Lineage: Bacteria; Pseudomonadati; Pseudomonadota; Alphaproteobacteria; Rhodobacterales; Paracoccaceae
Description: Rhodobacteraceae bacterium (sponge metagenome) partial 23S ribosomal RNA
Rfam family: Bacterial large subunit ribosomal RNA
Source: RNAcentral
CUGGUGGACCUGUUGUUGCGCCAGCAGCAGUGCAGGGUAGCUAUGAUCGGACAGGAUAACCGCUGAAGGCAUCUAAGCGGGAAGCCCCCCCAGAAAAAAGGUCUCCCUUGAGGGCCGUGGAAGACCACCACGUCGAUAGGCUGGAGAUGUAAGCGCUGUGAGGCGUUCAGUUGACCAGUACUAAUUGCCCGACAGGCUUGAUUUGAUCCGG